Non-coding RNA from Triticum urartu, 729 nucleotides. The record is from RefSeq and is a predicted model, not a curated record. NCBI's taxonomy places the organism in Eukaryota, Viridiplantae, Streptophyta, Magnoliopsida, Poales, Poaceae.
CUUCGUUAUGUCCUACUCCUACUAUCAUUCAUCCCUUUCCCCAUUCUCAUUCUUCUCCCAUUCCUUUCUCUCUGUUCCUUACCUAAUCUAAGGAUUCGUCCACAAUUCGUUGCUAGAUCCUGCCAAGAAAAGAGGACGGGGGGAAGUGGGAUUUGGGGCAGAGUGCGGUGGCUGCAGCCUGCAAGCUCCCGGCGGCGGCACGUCGUCUAGCUCGACCACACGUGCCUGCUGCUCGCUGCCGUCGUCGAUUUGAUGGACAUGGAUUUGGGUCCACUUGAACCUGAGCGGUGGCACUCCUCCAGUGUAGAAAUUUUCUGUUGGAGAGAAGGAUUUUGCGCCCCAAAGCAGCAAGGCUGCGAGGCAAAGCGGUUUCGUUUCCCUGAGUGGCGUUGCUCUCCUAUUUGUGGCACUGGCUGAGAGCUGCGUUGUCGGGUUCGACGGCCAUGUUCUUCAUAGUGUUCUAGGAUAUAAUUUAUAGUUAUGUGACUUGCCAUUAAGGAUCCAUUAAGGACAUUUCAAAUCUGAAGCAUCCAUUAAGGAUCCAACGGCUCUAACUUCAUUUUUCUAUUCUUCUAUCCUAUGGCCAGUUUCUAUUGUAGUCUUCCCCACCAUAUAUUAGCAAUUUAUAUUAACAGUAGCUCUAUUUAAGACAAAGGAAGAAUGCUUGAUGUAUUAACUGAAUUUGGCCCAUAUAUGUUAAUUGAUAUGCAAUAGAUUUUAGAUUUUUCA